CUGAGAUGUACCAUGUUGAAGACGGGAGACAUCAGAUAGUUUCCUGUGUAAAAGGUCAAACAAAAUACCUCUUGGUUCACAUUCAGCCCACCAGUUUGGAAGUCUGGUGGAGCAAGAGAAAGGGAGUCAAGAAGAACAUCCUGAAAGACAGUCAAGGGAACAGGGGCAGCCAGAACAGAGCUGAGGAGGAGGAACCAGCAGAGUAGUGUGGUGAACAGCAAGAGAGAAUUUCAAGGAGUGAGUGGUCUACAGUGUUAAAUGCAGCAGAAAUUUCCAGGAGGACAUAAGAACAGGAAGGUGAUCACUGGCACCGCUUCUAGAAGCAGUUUCAGUGCAGUGGUGGAGAUUAAACCCAGACAGUUGUGGGCGUUCUUUGUGGAGCUUACUAAAGGUGUUUCCUUAAUUCA
Long non-coding RNA from Neofelis nebulosa (Clouded leopard), 407 nucleotides. RefSeq lists it as uncharacterized. The record is from RefSeq and is a predicted model, not a curated record. NCBI's taxonomy places the organism in Eukaryota, Metazoa, Chordata, Mammalia, Carnivora, Felidae. The transcript is spliced from 2 exons.